AUGAGCAGCAGCAAUUCUAUGCCGGUGCCAGCGGCCCCGCUGGAUGAUGAGGACCUUCUCCAGGAGACCCUCCUCUGCCUCCCUCCGCAGCCAUCCUCCCUCCCACGCACCUCGCUUGUCUGCCCGCGCUGGCACCGCAUCCUCUCUUACCCCAAGUUCCUCACCCGCUUCCGCAGACAACACAAGGUACCUCCACUCCUCGGCUUCCUCGCCAAAUCAUGGGGCAUGCCCACCGUCUUCAAACCAGUAGAUCCGCCCUACCACAUCCCUACCGAGCGCUUCUCCGUGCCCAAGCCCAGCAAACUCUACGCUAGCUGGGACUUGCUCGGCCUUGCCGUCCUAGUCAAUAUGUGGCAGCAUGGCCAGAUCAUUGUGUGGGAUCCCCUCUCUGGUCAACAACACCGCGUGAAUUUUCCACCAGGGCUUGAUAACAAUGAAGUGGCGUUCUGGCAUGCCUCGGUGAUGUGUGCAGAUGAUCAAGAUGGGCACGUGCACGGCGAUUGCUUCUCGAGCCCGUUCAAAUUGGUCUUGAUCUGGGUUGUCAGACACAACCAAGCAUCUGCUUGCCUACACGAAUCCGCAUCUGCUGUAUGGGGAGAGACUGUCAUGGAAAUUACAGAUCAAAUUUAUUUCAUUAGUCCCGGUUUUCUUGUUGGGAAUGCACUUUGCUGGUUGCUUAGUGGAGUUGGUGUCCUAGUGUUUGAUCUUCAAAAUCAGAACCUUUGUGUGGUUAAGAACCCAACAUGUAUUACCGUGUCCAUUGGAUCCGUUCAGCUCAUACAGACAAAGGAUAGUAGACUUGGCCUAGCAUACUUGUCUAAACAGACCAUUCAAUUAUGGGAGCGGAAACCGGACUAUGACGGUGUUGUCAGAUGGGUUCUCCUGCAAACAACCAUUCAACUGGAGGAGCUCUUUCCACAGAUGUUUAUGGAUGAAGAAAGUGUAAGAAUAAAGAGGUAUAAUGACAAAUCAGUAGAAAUAAAGGGGCAUGAUGACAACACAAAUGUCAUUGUUCUGUCUACGAUUAGAGGUGACUUCACACUCGAAGUUAACAUGAUGGAGAUCAAACAUAUUAUUAAAAGAAAUUUCAAGUCUUCGAACACCUACUAUCCCUACGUGAAUUUCUAUACCGCAGCUAGAUAUGUUAGAAAUAUGUUCAGUAUGAUGAUCAUAUAG
RNAcentral lists this ribosomal RNA (1176 nucleotides) under Triticum aestivum (bread wheat). Its description in RNAcentral is "partial small subunit ribosomal RNA". The record is from RNAcentral. Lineage: Eukaryota; Viridiplantae; Streptophyta; Magnoliopsida; Poales; Poaceae.